CAAUUCGAUAGAAUCGUACUUCAAUGUGCGCUGCCUACAAGAAAAUCUCUUGCACAGUUAGUUUUGCAUACAAAGUCUUACAAAGUGCAUUUUGUUUCGAUGUGUUGAAAGUGGCUAAAAAUGCGUUGAUUCGAGCACAAUUACCACAGCAGAGCGAAGCGUUGUUAGUGUUAAUUUCAGGGGAAAACUCUAGAAAGUUGACUGAAGUUCAAUCUUGUGCUUCUCUGUGCGUGCUGAUGUUUAAUCUGUGUGGAAGUCCGAGGGGAGCUCAGAGGGAACAUUGGUUAGGGUCAAGAGGAGGGUUAGGGAACGAUUCAGGACCAUUGUCUUAAUGUGAGCUCUGAGUUGCACAGUCUCAUAGGAACUAAUCCUAACUUGAGCUACCAGGCUGUAACUUCUAAACACGUUUAGAUUGAUGAGGAGUGUGACCAGAAUGAUGCGUCCUCAGGGCUAGGAAUGUCCUGGUAUCUGGUCCUGGUCUCAGCUGUCACUGCUGGCUUUGUGCUUCUCCUGAGUCUGCUCAUCCUCUUCAUCUGGGUCAUCCCCAGGUGUCUUCAUUCACAUAGUAGAGAAGUGACAGUAGUCCGGUUCGAUGGACAGCUAAUAAACGAGACAGACACACCUGCACAGUUGGAAAUGGAGGAUUAAGAUACGAUCGACGUUUUCCAGCAACAGACAGGAGGCCUCUACUAGCAUGUCAAGUACUCCCCCACAUCUUCCUCCACCCCCAGACGGCUGCUUUGCAGCUUGUCCCAUUUUCCACCACAGAAUCAAUACCAUGCGGAAGAAGUCCUGCUCACAGUUAUACAUAACUGUUGAUGUAUAGUGUUUUCAUUCUUGCCUUUGUUUCCUUCCUGUUUUGUACAUAAACAACCUCCGCUAAAACAACUCAGAUUUGAGUAACAUUCAUACAGGUGUGCUGCGAAUGAACGCUGCAAGAUCCAGCUCUUAAAAAGUCCAUUGUUUUGGUGACUGGUUGGUUCACUUAUUCAGAAAUCAAGAAAAGCUAUUUUCCACCCAGUUCACUGUUUGAGAAUAAGACUGGUUUGUUAUUCAACUUAAUUUGUCUGUUUCAGAAAAUUGUUUUUACAUCUUUCUGUAUAGUAGUGGUUGUGUAGAAUGAAACAUGUCUUGAACAUAGUUUGACUAGGCCAUGUGUGUAAUAAGGAAACCCGGAAGAGAUGUCUCAAAUGACUAGUUAAAAUAAAGUUAUUCUCUCUUUUUAACCAAACUCAA
RNAcentral lists this long non-coding RNA (1236 nucleotides) under Salmo salar (Atlantic salmon). Its description in RNAcentral is "lncRNA (ENSSSAG00000093632.1)". Lineage: Eukaryota; Metazoa; Chordata; Actinopteri; Salmoniformes; Salmonidae. The record is from RNAcentral.